This 21-nucleotide non-coding RNA is filed under the name Mus musculus (house mouse). The record is from RNAcentral. Lineage: Eukaryota; Metazoa; Chordata; Mammalia; Rodentia; Muridae.
AAUGGGCUGGGGAUAUAGCUU